Molecule: ribosomal RNA, 393 nt
Filed under: uncultured bacterium
Lineage: Bacteria
Description: bacterial SSU rRNA
Rfam family: Bacterial small subunit ribosomal RNA
Source: RNAcentral
GUGCCAGCAGCCGCGGUAAUACGUAGGCAGCAAGCGUUGUUCGGAGUUACUGGGCGUAAAGAGUGUGUAGGCGGUGUCGUAAGUUCGGUGUGAAAUCUCCCGGCUUAACUGGGAGGGUGCGCCGGAAACUGCGAGACUUGAGUACGGGAGAGGGAAGCGGAAUUCCUGGUGUAGCGGUGAAAUGCGUAGAUAUCAGGAGGAACACCUGCGGUGUAGACGGCUUCCUGGACCGUUACUGACGCUGAGACACGAAAGCGUGGGGAGCAAACAGGAUUAGAUACCCUGGUAGUCCACGCCCUAAACGAUGCAUACUUGGUGUGAGCCAUUCAGUUGGUUCGUGCCGGAGCUAACGCGUUAAGUAUGCCGCCUGGGGAGUACGGUCGCAAGGCUGAA